AAAAUGCCGUCGACUUUAGAAAUCGCCCUCUAUCCCCA
RNAcentral lists this transfer RNA (38 nucleotides) under Crinum ornatum. RNAcentral describes it as "partial tRNA-Leu". The record is from RNAcentral. Lineage: Eukaryota; Viridiplantae; Streptophyta; Magnoliopsida; Asparagales; Amaryllidaceae.